This 332-nucleotide ribosomal RNA is filed under the name uncultured eukaryote. RNAcentral's name for it is "partial 18S ribosomal RNA". It matches the Rfam family "Eukaryotic small subunit ribosomal RNA", at positions 592 to 976 of the family's 1831-position model. The record is from RNAcentral.
CAAUAGCGUAUAUUAAAGUUGUUGCAGUUAAAAAGCUCGUAGUUGAAUUUCGGGUCCCCGCGCUCGGCGCUUCAUUGUGCCGUCGUGGUGUCCCUCCUCGCCGUAAGGCGUCCUUUACUGUGAAAAAAUUAGAGUGUUCAAAGCAGGCAAUCGCUUGAAUACAUUAGCAUGGAAUAAUAAGAUAGGAUCUUGUCUAUUUUGUUGGUUGCGGACAACGAUAAUGAUUAAUAGGGAUAGUUGGGGGUGUCCGUAUUGAGCUGUCAGAGGUGAAAUUCUUGGAUUUGCCCAAGACGAACUACUGCGAAAGCAUUCACCAAGGAUGUUUUCAUUAA